ACCCGCUGAACUUAAGCAUAUCAAUAAGCGCAGGAAAAGAAACCAACAGGGAUUACCUCAGUAACGGCGAGUGAAGCGGUAAUAGCUCAAAUUUGAAAUCUGGCCUCUUGGGGUCCGAGUUGUAAUUUGUAGAGGAUGUUUUGGGUACCGCCCCGGUUUAAAUUUCUUGGAACAGAAUGUCAAAGAGGGUGAGAAUCCCGUCUUGGACCGGUGGUAGGGCCUGUGUAAAACUCCUUCGACGAGUCGAGUUGUUUGGGAAUGCAGCUCAAAAUGGGUGGUAAAUUUCAUCUAAAGCUAAAUAUUGGCCAGAGACCGAUAGCGCACAAGUAGAGUGAUCGAAAGAUGAAAAGCACUUUGAAAAGAGAGUUAAACAGUAUGUGAAAUCGUUGAAAGGGAAGCGCUUGCAAUCAGACUUGAGCGCGGCGGUUCCCCUGACCUUUUGGUUAGGCUAUUCCGUCGUGUCCAGGCCAACAUCGGUUCUGAGGGUCGGUCAAAGGCCUUGGGAAUGUAUCUACCUACGGGUAGACUUAUAGACCAGGGUGUCAUGCGGCCUCUCGGGACCGAGGAACGCGCUUCGGCUCGGAUGUUGGCGUAAUGGUUGUCAGCGACCCGUCUUGAAACACGG
RNAcentral lists this ribosomal RNA (625 nucleotides) under uncultured fungus. Its description in RNAcentral is "eukaryotic LSU rRNA". It matches the Rfam family "Eukaryotic large subunit ribosomal RNA", at positions 23 to 664 of the family's 3401-position model. Lineage: Eukaryota; Fungi. The record is from RNAcentral.